GGUAGGUUAGUUCAGUGGUAGAACGUUCGGCUCGUUACCCGAAUGGACGUAGGUUCGAGCCCUACACCUAUCU
This 73-nucleotide transfer RNA is filed under the name Saprospiraceae bacterium. Its description in RNAcentral is "tRNA-Thr". It matches the Rfam family "tRNA". From Rfam's summary of the family: Transfer RNA (tRNA) molecules are approximately 80 nucleotides in length. Lineage: Bacteria; Pseudomonadati; Bacteroidota; Saprospiria; Saprospirales; Saprospiraceae. The record is from RNAcentral.